UACGUAGGGGCCAAGCGUUGUCCGGAUUUAUUGGGCGUAAAGAGCUCGUAGGCGGUUUGUCGCGUCUGCUGUGAAAUCCCGAGGCUCAACCUCGGGCCUGCAGUGGGUACGGGCAGGCUGGAGUGCGGUAGGGGAGAAUGGAAUUCCUGGUGUAGCGGUGGAAUGCGCAGAUAUCAGGAGGAACACCGAUGGCGAAGGCAGUUCUCUGGGCCGUAACUGACGCUGAGGAGCGAAAGCGUGGGGAGCGAACAGG
RNAcentral lists this ribosomal RNA (253 nucleotides) under uncultured bacterium. RNAcentral describes it as "partial 16S ribosomal RNA". It matches the Rfam family "Bacterial small subunit ribosomal RNA", at positions 524 to 776 of the family's 1533-position model. The record is from RNAcentral.